AUGCACGAUGAAUUUGGUGUCCUACAAAAGGAUAGCAGUCAGUUACAGACUCAGGUGUCAAAUAUCCAAACAGAGGUUCAAGCAAUUGGGUCUAAGCAAGGAGAGAUUUCUUCUACUAUGGGCGAUGUGGAAAAGGUGGUACUGGACUUGGGUAAACAGCUAUCAGUAAUCAGUAAUGUCCUUCAAACCCUGGUGAAAACAACGCAAUCAACACAACAGGUAGAUCGCCCUUCCAGUUCUCAAGAAGUGCCCAAAUCUCCUACACUAAAUCAAGAUUGCUCGCAAGAACAAGAGGCACGAUUGGAGCAGUUAAGGAAGCAGCUAGCAGCAGAGAAAGAAAAGUCUAAGCAGUUAGAAGAUAUUCAGUUACAAAACCUACCACCAAUCAGAGUGAAUAGAGCUGGAGGACCUCCUGGUUUGCAACUCAGGGACGACUGGAACAACAUAGUGCAGUGGGCACUCCGGCAAUAG
RNAcentral lists this ribosomal RNA (471 nucleotides) under Triticum aestivum (bread wheat). Its description in RNAcentral is "partial small subunit ribosomal RNA". The record is from RNAcentral. Lineage: Eukaryota; Viridiplantae; Streptophyta; Magnoliopsida; Poales; Poaceae.